Molecule: microRNA precursor, 174 nt
Filed under: Podarcis lilfordi (Lilford's wall lizard)
Lineage: Eukaryota; Metazoa; Chordata; Lepidosauria; Squamata; Lacertidae
Source: RNAcentral
AUGUAGCGAGCUGAGUGGGGAGGAGAGAGGGACAGAGAGCCUGCUUGCUUUAAAGGAACCAACCGGACAGGAGCCGCUUACACUCGUGUAAGUGGCUCCUCUCCUCUCCCGCUUUGCUCCUUUAAAGAAGCAGGCUCUCUGUCCCUCUCUCCUCCCCACUCAGCGGCUCUUCUC